UAGAACCCCAGCCGAGGACAGGAGCCUCCUUUCCUUUGUUAUAUUAUGCUUGCCUAAUAAUAUCGAAGCUGAAAAUCAAUGGCUUCUUGUACCUCGGCCUCAGUCAAAGCCCAGGAUGAUCAGGUUCUGGUGGAAGAGACCUUGUCUGCAAGAACUUUGAUAUUAAACAGGCCUAGACAGUUGAAUGCCCUUUCCAAUCAAAUGGUUUCUCGCCUACUGGAGCUUUUCAUUGCUUAUGAGGAGGAUCCCAAUGUCAAGUUGCUUGUUCUUAAGGGAAAUGGAAGAGCAUUUUGCGCAGGUGGUGAUGUUUCUGCUGUGGUUCGUUAUAUUCGUGAAGGUGAUUGGAAAUUAGGUGCCAAGUUCUUUGCGAAGGAAUACAUUUUAAACUAUGUGAUGGCAACAUAUGCUAAACCCCAGGUUUCUAUCCUUAAUGGAAUUGUCAUGGGAGGUGGUGCUGGUGCUUCUAUACAUGGAAGAUUUCGUGUUGCAACUGAGAAUUCGGUAGUUUUCUCUCUCUAGUAAAGGUUUGAAGCAAUAGAGAAUAUCUCUUACCCCUAUUAGAAGUGAACUUUUGUCGCUAUGAUCUUAAUGUUUUCUAUGUGGGUGAAUUCCCAACAAGUUACUUGCAUAUUUUUGCUCAUUUAUUGAUCAUAAGAAUGCACUUCUAAACACCUUUUGCUUAUUAAUUCAAUGAUAUUAAUGCAUAGGAGCCUUAGCGAAGCUGAAAUUUAUAUGUUUCACAUCUAUCACUGUCUUAGAAGUUAGUGUUUCUAGUUUCCUUUGGCAAAUUUCUUUAUAUGUGAUGUUUUGCAGGUCUUUGCAAUGCCUGAAACAGCUCUAGGACUCUUCCCUGAUGUAGGUGCCUCUUAUUUCUUGUCAAGACUUCCUCGAUUCUUUGGAGAGUAUGUUGGACUUACAGGUGCCAAAUUGGAUGGUGCUGAAAUGCUGGAGUCUGGCCUUGCAACUCACUUUGUCCCAUCAGCGAAGUUGUCUUUGUUAGAAGAAGCAUUACACAAAGAAGAUUCAAGUGAUCCAGUGACUAUUUCAUCUAUCAUUGAUAAAUACUCUCAGCAACCAUAUUUGAAAGAGCAAAGUGCCUGUCUACGGUUGGAUGUUAUUGAUAGAUGCUUCUCUCGGAGAACAGUUGAAGAGAUUUUAUCUGCCCUUGAGAGGGAGGCCAUGAAUAAGGCAGAUGCUUGGAUAACUACCACUAUUCAGUCACUGAAGAAGGCUUCUCCAACAAGUCUUAAGAUUUCUCUUAGAUUGAUCAAUUUUAAGCUCCUAAGAAUGAUGCAACUGAAAGAUGGAGAGUAGUCUUCAAUCUUCACUUGGACUUUGAGAAGGGAACUGUAGUUAUGCAGGCUGUCAAAGAAAAUGAAGUAAUUAUAAUUUUUCUUUUGAAGAAAAGAGUUGUAGUUAUUCGAUUUAUAAAAGAAGGGAAAGAUUAGAAAUAGCAACAGAUUUCAAGAACACUUUAUUAUAUAUUUAGAACGCCCAAUAACUAACAGAUAUGGGAACACCCAAUCGCAAAUAUAUAAUUUACAUUUUUUUUUUGUCCAUGCCAAGUUCUUAAGUUUCAUAACUUCCGCUUGUUAAACCCUGAAGUUAUAUAAUAUGUUUUAAGUUUUUAGGUUCUCAAGUUCCAAAAUAAGAAACCUUACAACCUUUUAAUUUGGAUGAGCCUACUUUGACCUUUGACUAAGUUCCAUGAGUUUGUUCGAGUAAAAAGCCACGUGACACUCAUGACCACCUAAUACGUGGCCAUUUGAACUGCUAUAUGCAAUAUUAUUGACUUCCAUCUCCAUUAUUCCUUUUUAAAUUUUUAAUGCCGCAUUCUACCACCUCAAAUUGUGUAAACUAUAUUUACUGCACCUAUGUGUCUAACCUUUGGCUCCAUACCUGAAUUACUCAGUAAACGUUAACAAAUUUUCGGUAAUUUACAAGUUAGCCCCUAAGGUAUGACAAAAACCAAAACUUAGUUCUAUUUUCAAGGAGAGACAAGUUUGUCUCCAAGGUAUGUUUAUGUUAAUAGAAUAAUCCUUUUGUUAAAAAUUCCUUAUUAGUGGACUAAUGAAUGUAACAAUUUAGUUCAUCACAUUUCUCUUUUUGUAAUAGUUUAGUCUAUGUAAUUUUAAUACUUAUAACAGUUUAUGAUUGCUUCAGUUUAUGGUUGACUAACAGUAAAUUGAAUAAAAUGACUGCUUUGUUAACAAAAGCAUAAUUGGGGACUAACUUGUUUCUCCUUAAAAAUAGAGUGACUAGGUUGUAGUUUUUGACAUACCUUAAGUAUUAAAUUUAGAUAACCAAAAAGUUUCAUGCAAAUCAUGUUGCCUCCGUGAACGGUUCCUUAAAUUCUCUCUCUUAAGGCUCUUAAAAUUUGAAUCUUUUCAAGUAGACUUGGAACAGACUCAGAAAGAGAGAUAAUAAGUUGAUACACAAAAGAUUUGAUCUAGCGGCAAAUAUUAUAAUUAAAUCAAAUAGCAAGUCUUUGUAUUUUGUAAACUUCUAAUGAGAUAGUGACCCACUAGAAACUCACCAAAUCGAAAUUAUAAAUAAGUUGAUAUCUUAGGUUUAGACUGUGUUAAUAGGAACUAAUUGAAAACGUUUCUCAUAUUUGUCAUAUUUCCCCACUCUUCUUCAUCGCCUUUAAAAUUUUUUUUCAGCAUGUUAUUUUUCUGCUCAAUUUUGUGUGAAUUUCUUUUGUUGCUUGAUCUGGGCAUGUGAUUACCCAUCCAUGAAUAUGGACAUUGUGCAACAAGAUUUAAUAUACAAGGCUUGAGUCAUUCCAAAAGUAUCCAUUUAAAUAAAUGUUAAAAGGGAAAUUCUUGCCUAUACCUAGUCUAUCAUGAAUCCAAGAUACAAUCGUUUAGAACCUAGGUAUUUAACAGAUGGACCCCACUAUAUAUGUUGUAUCUUGGAUUCAUUGUUGUCCAGGUUUAGGCAAGAAAAAUUCAUGUUAUAAUUGAAGCUUAUAUAAAGAGGUCCAUAAAUUAUUUUCCCAUUUUAAAGAUAAAAUACAGGAAUUGAAUGUUGUCACUGAGGAGCUCAACUGCUGCUGCUUCUGUGUUAUUAUUUGCAAACUGAAAGUGAUUUCCCUUCCGUGGUUCCA
This 3109-nucleotide unclassified non-coding RNA is filed under the name Hevea brasiliensis (rubber tree). The record is from RNAcentral. Lineage: Eukaryota; Viridiplantae; Streptophyta; Magnoliopsida; Malpighiales; Euphorbiaceae.